Long non-coding RNA from Sapajus apella (tufted capuchin), 178 nucleotides. RefSeq lists it as uncharacterized. The transcript is spliced from 2 exons. The record is from RefSeq and is a predicted model, not a curated record. NCBI's taxonomy places the organism in Eukaryota, Metazoa, Chordata, Mammalia, Primates, Cebidae.
CUGUAAGAAACACAAGCAGCUAAUGCCUCAAACAUGGUCUACAUGAACCAGUUAACUUAUACUGCUCUUCCACACGCAAAAUAUUAUUAGAUAAUUCAUGAAUUCAAUGUUGCUUUUACUGAACAAUACUCUGAACUAAAUAAUGCUUCCUACUUAGACCAAAAAUUAAAGGCAACUU